RNAcentral lists this ribosomal RNA (253 nucleotides) under uncultured bacterium. RNAcentral's name for it is "partial 16S ribosomal RNA". It matches the Rfam family "Bacterial small subunit ribosomal RNA", at positions 524 to 776 of the family's 1533-position model. The record is from RNAcentral.
UACGUAGGCAGCGAGCGUUGUUCGGAGUUACUGGGCGUAAAGAGUGCGUAGGCGGUCAGCCAAGUUUGGUGUGAAAUCUCCCGGCUCAACUGGGAGGGUGCGCCGAAAACUGGUUGGCUAGAGUAUGGGAGAGGAAAGCGGAAUUCCUGGUGUAGCGGUGAAAUGCGUAGAUAUCAGGAGGAACACCUGUGGUGUAGACAGCUUUCUGGACCAUAACUGACGCUGAGGCACGAAAGCGUGGGUAGCAAACAGG